This 326-nucleotide ribosomal RNA is filed under the name uncultured eukaryote. RNAcentral describes it as "partial 18S ribosomal RNA". It matches the Rfam family "Eukaryotic small subunit ribosomal RNA", at positions 1470 to 1796 of the family's 1831-position model. The record is from RNAcentral.
CCCUUAGAUGUUCUGGGAUGCACGCGCGUUACACUGAUUCGUUCAACGAGUUUAUGACCUUGCCUGAUGAGGUGGGGGAAUCUUUUCAAAUCGCAUCGUGAUGGGGAUAGAGUAUUGUAACUGUUAGUCUUCAACGAGGAAUUCCUAGUAAGUACGUGUCAUCGGCUCGUACUGAUUAUGUCCCUGCCCUUUGUACACACCGCCCGUCGCUCCUACCGAUUGAGUGCUCAGGUGAAUAGUAUGGGCUGCAUCAGUGUUCGGUCUCCGAAUGUUGACGCGAGAAAUUCUGUGAAUCUUAUUGCUUAGAGGAAGGAGAAGUCGUAACA